Molecule: long non-coding RNA, 179 nt
Organism: Thalassophryne amazonica
Lineage: Eukaryota; Metazoa; Chordata; Actinopteri; Batrachoidiformes; Batrachoididae
Exons: 3
Source: RefSeq, a predicted model, not a curated record
GUUUUAUCUGAAGCAGGGAGAUCAUUCCACAGAACAGGUGCAUGAUAAGAGAAGGGUCCGUGGCCGACAGACUUUAUAUUCACCCUAGGGUCCCAAAGUAGUCCUGAGAAUGCAGAGCCCAGGCCGGUACGUAGGGUUUAAUUAGGUCAGCUAAGUAGGGAGGUGAGAGUCCAUUAAUA